RNAcentral lists this ribosomal RNA (221 nucleotides) under uncultured bacterium. Its description in RNAcentral is "partial 16S ribosomal RNA". It matches the Rfam family "Bacterial small subunit ribosomal RNA", at positions 524 to 742 of the family's 1533-position model. The record is from RNAcentral.
UACGUAGGGUGCAAGCGUUAAUCCGGAAUUACUGGGCGUAAAGCGUGCGCAGGCGGUUUUGUAAGUUUGUCGUGAAAGCCCCGGGCUCGAACCUGGGAAUUGCGAUGAAGACUGCAAGGCUUGAAUCUGGCAGAGGGGGGUAGAAUUCCACGUGUAGCAGGUGAAAUGCGUAGAGAUGUGGAGGAACACCGAUGGCGAAGGCAGCCCCUGGGUCAAGAUUG